AGCAAACAGGACUAGAUACCCUGGUAGUCCACGCUGUAAACGAUGUCGACUUAGAGGUUGUGGUCUUGAACCGUGGCUUCUGGAGCUAACGCGUUAAAUCGACCGCCUGGGGAGUACGGCCGCAAGGUUAAAACUCAAAUGAAUUGACGGGGGCCCGCACAAGCGGUGGAGCAUGUGGUUUAAUUCGAUGCAACGCGAAGAACCUUACCUACUCUUGACAUCCAGCGAAUCCUUUAGAGAUAGAGGAGUGCCUUCGGGAACGCUGAGACAGGUGCUGCAUGGCUGUCGUCAGCUCGUGUUGUGAAAUGUUGGGUUAAGUCCCGCAACGAGCGCAACCCUUAUCCUUUGUUGCCAGCACGUAAUGGUGGGAACUCAAAGGAGACUGCCGGUGAUAAACCGGAGGAAGGUGGGGAUGACGUCAAGUCAUCAUGGCCCUUACGAGUAGGGCUACACACGUGCUACAAUGACAGAUACAAAGAGAAGCGACCUCGCGAGAGCAAGCGGAACUCAUAAAGUCUGUCGUGGUCCGGAUUGGAGUCUGCAACUCGACUCCAUGAAGUCGGAAUCGCUAGUAAUCGUAGAUCAGAAUGCUACGGUGAAUACGUUCCCGGGC
This 613-nucleotide ribosomal RNA is filed under the name Proteus mirabilis. RNAcentral describes it as "bacterial SSU rRNA". It matches the Rfam family "Bacterial small subunit ribosomal RNA", at positions 767 to 1379 of the family's 1533-position model. Lineage: Bacteria; Pseudomonadati; Pseudomonadota; Gammaproteobacteria; Enterobacterales; Morganellaceae. The record is from RNAcentral.